GGCCGUCGUCAGUUCGUACUGUGAAGCAUCCUGUUAAGUCAGGCAACGAGCGAGACCCACGCCAACAGUUGCCAGCUCGUCCUCCGGGAUGGUGGGGACGACUGUUGGGACCGCCUCUGCUAAAGAGGAGGAAGGAAUGGGCAACGGUAGGUCAGCAUGCCCCGAAUUAUCUGGGCUACACGCGGGCUACAAUGGGUGGGACAAUGGGUAUCGACACCGAAAGGUGAAGGCAAUCUCCUAAACCCAUCCGUAGUUCGGAUUGUGGGCUGCAACUCGCCCACAUGAAGCUGGAAUCUGUAGUAAUCGUGUCUCAAAUGGCACGGUGAAUAUGUCCCUGCUCCUU
RNAcentral lists this ribosomal RNA (343 nucleotides) under uncultured Methanomicrobiales archaeon. Its description in RNAcentral is "bacterial SSU rRNA". It matches the Rfam family "Archaeal small subunit ribosomal RNA", at positions 996 to 1338 of the family's 1478-position model. The record is from RNAcentral. Lineage: Archaea; Methanobacteriati; Methanobacteriota; Methanomicrobia; Methanomicrobiales.